GAGAAGGGAUGACACAGUAGGAUAAGCUAAGCACACUGUUGGUUAUGUGUGCCCAAGCAUUGAGGCAGUCAAAGUAGGCAAAUCCGCUUUGAUAAUGCUGGGAUGUGAUGGGGAGCGAAAUUUAGUAGCGAAGUAGCUGAUUUCACACUGUCAAGAAAAGUCUCUAUCGAGGUUAAAGGUACCCGUACCGCAAACCGACACAGGUGGGUGAGGAGAGUAUCCUAAGGCCAGCGAGAGAACUGUUGUUAAGGAACUCGGCAAAAUGACCCCGUAACUUAGGGAUAAGGGGUGCCACCAUCAGGUGGCCGCAGAGAAUAGGCCCAAGCGACUGUUUACCAAAAACAUAGGUUUCUGCUAAGUCG
RNAcentral lists this ribosomal RNA (362 nucleotides) under Clostridioides difficile. RNAcentral describes it as "partial 23S ribosomal RNA". It matches the Rfam family "Bacterial large subunit ribosomal RNA", at positions 1461 to 1833 of the family's 2925-position model. The record is from RNAcentral. Lineage: Bacteria; Bacillati; Bacillota; Clostridia; Peptostreptococcales; Peptostreptococcaceae.